GCCUACAUCACAAAAGCUGAUAGUACACUUUCUGUUGGAAGAAUGGUCCACCCCCUAUAAGCAGUUUCACCAUGAAGACCUCAGAUGAUCCAACCAACACCGCACAGGAAAUACGGAAAAUGGGAACACAGUCAUGAAACUCAUCCGUGCCCACACUUCUUUCAUUUCGUCUCUGUCAGGAUUUAUUUUGAGAGGGAAAAGUUCAAAGAAGCUGUUUCUCAAAAUCUAGUACAUAAUUCCAUGUGAUUGCACUCAAAACUGUUCUUGAAAGAUUGGACCUCAGAAUAAAACAAUGCAGGAUGAAGAAAACUCCCAUCG
This 318-nucleotide long non-coding RNA is filed under the name Equus caballus (horse). RNAcentral describes it as "lncRNA (ENSECAG00000053870.1)". Lineage: Eukaryota; Metazoa; Chordata; Mammalia; Perissodactyla; Equidae. The record is from RNAcentral.